This 301-nucleotide ribosomal RNA is filed under the name uncultured bacterium. Its description in RNAcentral is "partial 16S ribosomal RNA". It matches the Rfam family "Bacterial small subunit ribosomal RNA", at positions 509 to 807 of the family's 1533-position model. The record is from RNAcentral.
CAGCAGCCGCGGUAAUACGGAGGGUGCAAGCGUUAAUCGGAAUUACUGGGCGUAAAGCGCACGCAGGCGGUCUGUCAAGUCAGAUGUGAAAUCCCCGGGCUUAACCUGGGAACUGCAUUUGAAACUGGCAGGCUAGAGUCUUGUAGAGGGGGGUAGAAUUCCAGGUGUAGCGGUGAAAUGCGUAGAGAUCUGGAGGAAUACCGGUGGCGAAGGCGGCCCCCUGGACAAAGACUGACGCUCAGGUGCGAAAGCGUGGGGAGCAAACAGGAUUAGAUACCCGUGUAGUCCCUGUCUCUUAUAC